This 500-nucleotide ribosomal RNA is filed under the name uncultured bacterium. RNAcentral describes it as "partial 16S ribosomal RNA". It matches the Rfam family "Bacterial small subunit ribosomal RNA", at positions 30 to 523 of the family's 1533-position model. The record is from RNAcentral.
AUUGAACGCUGGCGGCAGGCCUAACACAUGCAAGUCGAGCGGAUGACGGGAGCUUGCUCCUUGAUUCAGCGGCGGACGGGUGAGUAAUGCCUAGGAAUCUGCCUGGUAGUGGGGGACAACGUUUCGAAAGGAACGCUAAUACCGCAUACGUCCUACGGGAGAAAGCAGGGGACCUUCGGGCCUUGCGCUAUCAGAUGAGCCUAGGUCGGAUUAGCUAGUAGGUGAGGUAAUGGCUCACCUAGGCGACGAUCCGUAACUGGUCUGAGAGGAUGAACAGACACAGUGGAACUGGGACACGGUCCAGGCUCCUACGGGAGGCAGAAGUGGGGAAUAUGGGACGAUGGGCGAAAGGGAGAUCCUGGCAUGCCGAGUGUGUGAAGAAGGUGUUCAGAAUGUAAAGCACUUUAAGUUGGGAGGAAGGGAAGUAAGUUAAUACCUUGCUGUUUUGACGUUACCGACAGAAUAAGCACCGGCUAACUCUGUGCCAGCAGCCGCCGUAA